Molecule: long non-coding RNA, 1155 nt
Organism: Eutrema salsugineum
Lineage: Eukaryota; Viridiplantae; Streptophyta; Magnoliopsida; Brassicales; Brassicaceae
Exons: 3
Source: RefSeq, a predicted model, not a curated record
ACGAUACUUUCAUUAUCUGGAAAAUUCAGAGAACUCCACUUGAAUCGACCAUAGAGUUUUUCAUUAUCUCUCGUCUCUGAUUACUUUGAAUCUUUCAUCAUUCUCUAUCGGAAUUCAUAUCCGGGAAAUCAAAUUUCGAUUCGAUUCUGUAGUUUUUCUUUUCUAUCUCGUGAUACUCGUAAAUCGGCUCCAGAACGAAGAAAUAAUCGAUCAUUAUGUUGUCUCUCUGAUUCAAUAACUUGGUUUUAUAAAUAAUUUAGAUUUGAUUUGAUGUUAUGAUGGAUUCGUAGAAAUUGUUUGGUAGGGUUUUUGGAUAGAGUCUUCGGUGAGGAAUCUCCAAUUUCAGAAAUUUUAGCUCGAUUCGAAGGUAAUUUCUAAUCAGAUUUUGAUUGCUUUGAUCUCUUUUAAUUUUGGAAGAACUUGUGGUGUCACUCGAUAUUUGGUCUCUAAUUUGCUACUUAGUCAAAUCAUUUUCCUUGUUUUGACGAUGAACUUUCAGAUGGAAUCUGUUAUGCAUGUGAAAUGGGAGUUUGGGAAUGAAAUGGUAGAUUAUGCAGUUCUGACCUAAUUAAACUGUAAAGCUAAUUUUUUGAUAAAAUAACUUCACAGAAUAUACAGCGUAAGCACGAUGAUCAUAUGUUUACUAUAUCUUAUGAUCAUAUGUUUACAGAAUAUACAGCGUAAGCACGAUGAUCAUAUGUGAACAUUACAUAUUUUGUUUUUUUGAUUGGUGCUCAAAUUAUAAUACAAAUCAAACUAUGUGAUAUUUGCAGAGAUGCAAGAGGAAAGACGACAUUUAUAUGAUUCCUUAUGUUGAUCCUACAACUAGCUUGUCUUAAAAGAUUGAGGCAAGACGAGACAUGCUUCAACCAAGUCUAAGGAGAGCUUCUUAUUGCAUCUUACAUGAGACGGGAUCGAGGUUAAUCGAAGAGGGAACCAGAGUACAUGAGGGUUGUUACAAAGACGGGAGCUUUUUUUGAAGAGUACUACAAAUAUGUAGGCAAUAUUGUGUGUUGUGCAUAAGAUAGAAAACAGAGUUGCUUUCUGUGUAAUAAGUAAUAACAUAUUAAUUAUUUAAUUUAUAAUCAAUAAUUUGAUUAUUUGGAAUCAUGUUUUGUAAAUCCUAGUGGAAUCACAUUUUUACAAAUUUUUGUA